RNAcentral lists this ribosomal RNA (255 nucleotides) under Olea europaea subsp. europaea. RNAcentral's name for it is "Bacterial small subunit ribosomal RNA". It matches the Rfam family "Bacterial small subunit ribosomal RNA", at positions 560 to 816 of the family's 1533-position model. The record is from Rfam by way of RNAcentral. Lineage: Eukaryota; Viridiplantae; Streptophyta; Magnoliopsida; Lamiales; Oleaceae.
UGUAAAGCUUAUAGGUGACAUUUUAGUCCAUUGUCAAAUUUCUGGACUCAAUCUUGAAUACGAGGUGGAAACUACACAGCUAGAGUAUGGUAUGGGUAGAGGUAAAUUUCUAUUGAGCAGUGAAAUGAGUAAAGAUUAAAAGAACACCGAUGACAAAACUGCUCUGUUGGGCCAACACUAUACAUUGUGAUAUGAAAGCUAGGGGAAUGAAUGUGAUUAAAUAUCACAAUUGCUCUAGUCAUAAAUAAUUUAAUA